GGGCAGCCGCUCCCCUCCAGCUGUUGGGUUUUUUUUAUUAUUUAUUAUUACAGAUAGAAUCCUGGAAAACGACAGAGCAAACCAUGGCUACAGCCUUCUUCCAGCACUCCACUGGAGACGAGUCAACAUUCGAUAGGAGAGAUCCCAGGACUCCAUGGCCACAUGCUGAGGAAGCCUCAGCGCUGGACACGGACACGAGCCCAUGACACGUCAACAUUCGACAGGACAGAUCCCUGGACUUCAUGACCACAUGCUGAGGAAGCCUCAGCGCUGAACACGGACGUGAGCCCAUGACACGACAACAUUCGACAGGAGAGUUCCCUGGACUUCAUGACCACAUGCUGAGGAAGCCUCAGCGCUGGACACCGAUGCGAGCCCCUGACACCUCAGCGUUCGACAGGAGAGAUACUUGGACUCCAUGGCCACAUGCUAAGGAAGAUAGAAUGCUGGAAAACAACAGAGUAAGACCAUGGCUACAGCCUUCUUCCAGCACUCCACUGGAGACGGGUCAACAUCAGACAGGAGAGAUCCCUGGACUCCACGGCCACUUGCUAAGGAAGCCUCAGCGCUGGACACAGACGCGAGCCCAAGACACGUCAACAUUCGACAGGACAGAUCCUUGGACUUCAUGGCCACAUGCUGAGGAAGCCUCAGUGCUGGACAUGGACACGAGCCCAUGAUACCAUGCUCCUGGCUGCCUCUCCUUGACGCUCCGCUGGAGACGCUGCAGCAUCCCACGGGACAGUCCUACAGAGGA
This 757-nucleotide long non-coding RNA is filed under the name Anas platyrhynchos platyrhynchos (common mallard). RNAcentral describes it as "lncRNA (ENSAPLG00000029049.1)". Lineage: Eukaryota; Metazoa; Chordata; Aves; Anseriformes; Anatidae. The record is from RNAcentral.